AAUUCUUUAUUUCUCCUUCACUUCUGAAGUACAGUCAUGAGUCACUUAACAAUGGGGAUAUGUUCUGAGAAUGUGAUGUCAGGCAAUUUCGUCAUUGUACAAACAGCAUGGACUGCACUUACACAAACCUAGAUGGUGCAGGUACUACACACCUAGGUUCUGUGGCACUGAUCUCAUGGGACCACUGUCAUAUAUGCUGUCUGUCACUGACUGACAUGUCGUUAUGCAGGGCAUGAAUGUAUAAUUUCAAUGGAUACAAAAUUCAAGAGUGAGACAGGAAGACUAGCAAAGGCUGGGGCUGGAUAUGCUCCUUCCCCCAGGUAGGUUAGGCUCUGUUAAAAUCCAUGUUGGCUACCCAGAGGGAACACCAUGUGAAGACACUGGAAGAACACAACUAUCUACAGGCCAGAAAAGCCUUAGAAGAAAUCAUCACUGCUGACACCUUGACGUCAAACUUCUAAAGACUAAGAGAUGAGACAUCUGCCUCCAAAACUCCCAGUGUAGAAUAGGAACAGAGCCACUACAGUGAAAACCUUCAUUUGGAGCAAAGAGAAUGAGAACCACCCAGGACACCUGGUCAGCUCCUGCUGGGUAGGAACAGCAAAGACCCUCCUGUUACACUGAUUUUUGGAUGUCAAGCCAAUCUUGCACUGCUGGGAUAAAUCCCAUUUAGUCCUGCUCAGUUUAUAAUUCUUUUUAUAUGUUAAUGGAUUUUGUGCGCUGGUAGUUUAUUGAGGAUUUUUUGUGUCUAUAUUUAUCAAGGAUGUUGGUCUUUAGUUUUUCUGUGAUAUAUUUGCCUGGUUUUGGUAUCAGAGUAAUAUGGCCUCAUAGAAGGAGCUGGGAAGCAUUCCCUCUAUUUAUACUUUUUGCAAGAGAUUGUGAAAGAUUGCUAGUAAUUCUUCUUUAAAUGUUUGAUAGAAUCACCAGUGAUGCCAUCUAGGCCUGGGCUUGUCUUUGUAGGAAGUGUUUUGAUUAUGAAUUCAAUCUCCUUAUUUGUUAUAUAUCAAUUCAGAUUUUUAAUUUCUUUUGAGCCAGUUUCAGUAGUUGUGUCUUUCUAGGGAUUUGUCCAUCUCGUCUAAGUUAUCUAAUCUGUUGGCAUACAGGGGAGUGUGUCAGCUGUAGGUCCACCUUUGUCCUCUCCUUAUGCACUCCUCCAGAUAAAGGUUGUGGAGUCUUCGAAUGGUUUUUCCCUGAGAUCAGGAUGUAAAGUGGAAUGCCUAGAACAGGGGAAGAAGGACUCUGCUCAGAGCUCACAAAGUACUCAGGAACUAGGUUUUUCAAAGGCAGGAGGACUAAGGGAGGGGAACCUCAAAGCAAGAGCGGGUGACAUUGAAGGCACAGUCAGGAAGACUCCAGGGAGACCACGCUAGCAGCUGCCAUGAGGGCAGAACUUGGGAGUGAGGAAGAAAUAAUCAAAGAUUUUCAGGAAGUUUUGUUGGGCAGUAAAACUCUUGUGGGAGGGACCUUGGAGGAAAUUCACAAUGCAGUCUAAAUUAUUUGUUAAAUAUUUCCAAUUUAUACCUUUGGAAGUGGCCCUGCUCAGAGGCUAAACCUUG
Long non-coding RNA from Equus caballus (horse), 1556 nucleotides. Lineage: Eukaryota; Metazoa; Chordata; Mammalia; Perissodactyla; Equidae. The record is from Ensembl.